RNAcentral lists this ribosomal RNA (484 nucleotides) under uncultured bacterium. Its description in RNAcentral is "partial 16S ribosomal RNA". It matches the Rfam family "Bacterial small subunit ribosomal RNA", at positions 30 to 507 of the family's 1533-position model. The record is from RNAcentral.
AUUGAACGCUGGCGGCAUGCUUUACACAUGCAAGUCGAACGGCAGCGCGGGCUUCGGCCUGUCGUCGAGUGGCGAACGGGUGAGUAACACAUCGGUACGUGCCCAGUGGCGGGGGAUUGACUGCCGAAAGCCGGAUUAAUACCCCAUACGACCCUAGGGUGAAAGGGGGGGAGCUUCAAACCUCCCGCGAUUGGAGCUGCCGAUGGCAGAUUUGCUAGUUGGUGGGGUAAAGGCCUACCCAAGCGACGAUCUGUAGCUGGUCUGAGAGGACGACCAGCCACACUGGGACUGAGACACGGCCCAGACUCCUACGGGAGGCAGCAGUGGGGAAUUUUGGACAAUGGGCGAAAGCCUGAUCCAGCAAUGCCGCGUGUGUGAUGAAGGCCUUCGGGUUGUAAAGCACUUUUGGCGGGAACGAAAAGGACUGUGCCAAUACCACGGUUCGAUGACGGUACCCGCAGAAUAAGCACCGGCUAACUACGUG